GAUAAACGCUGGCGGCGUGCCUAAUACAUGCAAGUCGAACGAAGAGUUUGUAGCAAUACGGGCUCUUAGUGGCGAAUGGGUGAGUAACGCGUUGGUGACCUGCCCCGAAGAAGGGGAUAACAGCUCGAAAGGGCUGCUAAUACCCCAUGUGGUCAGCGGCUUUAGAAACCGCUGUCUAAAGCAGUAAUGCGCUUCGGGAGGGGCCUGCGUCCCAUCAGCUUGUUGGUAGGGUAAUGGCCUACCAAGGCUGCGACGGGUAGGGGGCCUGAGAGGGUGGCCCCCCACAUUGGCACUGAAACACGGGCCAAACACCUACGGGUGGCAG
Molecule: ribosomal RNA, 325 nt
Filed under: uncultured Chloroflexota bacterium
Lineage: Bacteria; Bacillati; Chloroflexota
Description: bacterial SSU rRNA
Rfam family: Bacterial small subunit ribosomal RNA
Source: RNAcentral